Molecule: transfer RNA, 73 nt
Organism: Ovis aries (sheep)
Lineage: Eukaryota; Metazoa; Chordata; Mammalia; Artiodactyla; Bovidae
Rfam family: tRNA
About the family: Transfer RNA (tRNA) molecules are approximately 80 nucleotides in length.
Source: Rfam
UCCCUGGUCAUCCAGGGGUUAAGGCUCCAUGCUUUAAAUGCAGGGGGCCCAGGUUCAAUCCCUGGUCAGGGAG